Molecule: ribosomal RNA, 792 nt
Filed under: uncultured archaeon
Lineage: Archaea
Description: bacterial SSU rRNA
Rfam family: Archaeal small subunit ribosomal RNA
Source: RNAcentral
ACGGCUCAGUAACACGUGGAUAACCUACCCUCAGAUCUGGGAUAACUCCGGGAAACUGGAGAUAAUACCGGAUAAUCCGUGAACGCUGGAAUGCCUUACGGUUGAAAGCUUUAGCGUCUGAGGAUGGGUCUGCGGCCGAUUAGGUAGUUGCUGGGGUAACGUCCCAACAAGCCGAUAAUCGGUACGGGUUGUGAGAGCAAGAGCCCGGAGAUGGAUUCUGAGACACGAAUCCAGGUCCUACGGGGCGCAGCAGGCGCGAAAACUUUACACUGCGCGAAAGCGCGAUAAGGGGACCUCGAGUGCGUGCGCAAUGCGUACGCUUUUCAGAUGCCUAAAAAGCAUGUGGAAUAAGGGCCGGGCAAGACCGGUGCCAGCCGCCGCGGUAACACCGGCGGCUCAAGUGGUGGCCGCUAUUAUUGGGCUUAAAGGGUCCGUAGCCGGACCAGUUAGUCCCUUGGGAAAUCUUACGGCUUAACCGUAAGGCUGCCAAUGGAUACUGCUGGUCUUGGGACCGGGAGAGGUAAGAGGUACCUCAGGGGUAGGAGUGAAAUCCUGUAAUCCUUGAGGGACCGCCAGUGGCGAAGGCGUCUUACUAGAACGGGUCCGACGGUGAGGGACGAAAGCUAGGGGCACGAACCGGAUUAGAUACCCGGGUAGUCCUAGCCGUAAACGAUGCGAGCUAGGUGUCACGUGGAUUGCGAAUCCAUGUGGUGCCGAAGGGAAACCGUGAAGCUCGCCGCCUGGGAAGUACGGCCGCAAGGCUGAAACUUAAAGGAAUUGGCGGGGGAGCAC